This 253-nucleotide ribosomal RNA is filed under the name uncultured bacterium. RNAcentral's name for it is "partial 16S ribosomal RNA". It matches the Rfam family "Bacterial small subunit ribosomal RNA", at positions 524 to 776 of the family's 1533-position model. The record is from RNAcentral.
UACGUAGGGCGCAAGCGUUGUCCGGAAUUAUUGGGCGUAAAGAGCUCGUAGGCGGUUUGUCGCGUCUGCUGUGAAAACUCGGGGCUUAACUCCGGGCCUGCAGUGGGUACGGGCAGACUAGAGUGCGGUAGGGGAGACUGGAAUUCCUGGUGUAGCGGUGAAAUGCGCAGAUAUCAGGAGGAACACCGGUGGCGAAGGCGGGUCUCUGGGCCGUAACUGACGCUGAGGAGCGAAAGCGUGGGGAGCAAACAGG